AUGUCAGUUGUCAACAUGCCGCUGGUUAAGCCACUCCUGAAUCAAUUUUUGUAUGGGUAAAACAUGCCAGGGACCCUAUAUGGCAGGAUUAAUAUCUUUUCUUGAUUUCUUUUGUUGCUGCUCUGCCACAAUCUCCUGUUCAAGGAAGUACCUUGCCAAGCUGGCAUGUCCUGGCCGUUGUAGGUAAGAGAAUUGACUUCUGAUGAACUUUCUUCUUCUUAUCCUCUUUCAUUUAGAUAGUUAUAUUGUGAAACACUUGCCAACGAAGCUCUCUGUCAACUAUUAGAGUAUUGACGGUUUCUGUCAUAAAUCUGAAUGUUUUUGUGGGCAAUUGGUUUGUAAAAGCAAUGGUACGUGACAACUACUAAAGCAUUGAGUGUCGUUGCUGUUGCACUUUCUAUAAGUAUGGGGAUUGAUUUUCUGUCAAUUGUGCGUUACAACUAACAACUACUAAAUUUCAACGCCCUUUUUUUGACAUUUUUUGGUUAAAUAUAAUGGCGUGUGAAAUAAUUGGUUCUAUCAAUUAGUAGUAAUCAUGGCAUUGUUGGGUAAUAUAGCAGUUAUUCUUUGCAUUGAUAUUGACGUCAACACAAAGGAACUCUCACAUGUGUUUGCUUUUUCUCCAACAAGGAAAUAAUGUGUGCGUACAUAUCCACUGGAACGUUACCCGCGCUCCGUACUCGGCUCCAGCGAUAUAGUUUAACGGCGAGACACACUUAUCUAACAAAGUGCUCACAACUUCCCAGCAAAUGUUGCUCACUGAGUGCCUCCUCCAUUCAACGAGGAAAAGUUGACUGCUUGAGAAAAAGAAGCUGUGAGUUCCCCACAUCUACUGAACAUCGUUUUGGUUACUUCGUUUCUCUUCCUGCAGUUUUUGCAUGGGCUGCAGAUGUACAUUCGAUUAGUUUUUUUUGAAUGGUCACCGGGGGGAGAGCUUCCCCACCUUAAUAUAUUACCACUCAAAAUAGGAGUCGAGAAUUACAACAGCAGUUCAGUUACAACAUCAACUUCAGGGAAUGGCUGAAGAGAGGAAGUUAAGCCAUUGCCUAGCAUAGAUAUUGUCUUCUUCUUUUUUGAACCGGAAAACCCAGAGGGAGAAAUCUGCUACAAUGUUUUGUAUCGUAGUUCUGUGGGAGUGAUCCUCGUUUCUGAACACGAGAGCGUUUCUCGAGUCCCAUAGCUUCCAUGCAACAGUCCAGAGCCACAGAUGGCCAGAUGUUGGGGUUGAGGCCCAGAAUCGUUGGGUGUUGGUGUAGAGCAACAAGGGAGGUUGGAGACGGCAGACCCAAGGAGGACCAAACCUGUGUCGCAUAAGAACAGUUGGAGAUGAGGUGGAGGGCAUCCUCAUAUGGGUCUUGACAACGAGGACAUGUAGCCGAUUGAGCAAUGUGCUUGUGAAACAUGUUGGCUUUCGUGUUUAGCCGAUCACGGAGGAGAAGCCAUGCGAAGAUCUUAACCUUGAUCAGAACCUUGGAGGCCCAGACAAAGUCAUGAUGAGGGUUGGAUGAAUCUUCAGCAACAAUGGAGGAGUAGGCAUUCUUGGCAGAGAACGGUAGUCCAUGGGUGAGGGACCGUUCGUCGGAUCGGUCCACCUGCUGGAAAUCCUGCAACAACAACAGCACACAAUCCAACUCGCGAGCAGCAGCAUUAGACAGACGGUUCCGCAGGUUCGCCAAUAAGAUGUUUUGUCAAACUGUAGCCACUAAAACCUUGUCAUCAAUGGAGUGUGAGUAAAGGUUUGGGAAAACUUUUUGGAGAGGCGACUGUAAAAGCCAUUUAUCAAGCCAGAAAAAGGUGGAGAGGCCAUUGUAGGUGAUCACAAAUGAGUGCUCAAUGAGCAGUGGCAAGUUUUUGUUGAUAAUUUUCCAAAGAAAGGAGGGUCUUGAAGUUUUUGCUGCGAUGCCAAGAGGGUAUUGGUGGUGAUACCACUGGGUCCAAGGGACGUUUGGGUGUUGCAGAAUCUUGAAUGAGAAUUUCAUAAGCAAGCAGCGGUUGUGAACUUCUAGAUUUUUAAUUCCUAGACCACCAAUGUCUUUCCGUUUGCAAAUGUUUUUCCACGUGACUAAGCAGCUCGCACCCGUGCAAGUUGCCUCGUUGGACCAGAAGAACGCCCUACGAAUGGCGUCAAGUUUAGCUACGAUCGACUAAGGUAGGCGAAAGACUGACAUGAAAUAAAUUGUUAAUGAGUCUAGGACCGCAGUCAGCAGUGUGAGGCGAGCACCACGUGAGAGCAGGCACGCAACCCAACCGAAGAGGAAUUUCCGAAAGCUGUCUAUGAUCGGGUCGAAAGCUGUGAGUGGCAGUUUGGUAGGGGAGAGGGGAAGACCUAGGUAGAUUAAUGGAAAGGAGGAUAAAGAACAUCCAAUAGAUGCAGCGAUGUUGUUUUGAGUGGAUGAGUUAGUGGCGAUGGUGAGAAGUGCCGUUUUUUGGAAGUUGACAACCAGCCCCGUUGCAAGGGCAAAAUCGUGUAGUGUUUUUUUGAGAGUUAUGGUGGCGGCGUCGCUAGCAGCAACAAUUAUCAGGGUAUCAUCAGCGUAUUGAAGUGUCAUGGGUGGUUCGUUUGGUCGGAGCGGGUGGCAAAGUACGUUCGUUUGGAAAGCGCUGGAGGUCAGUCUUUGAAGAACGUCUGCAACAAUGAUGACCAAGUAUGGCGAGAAUGGAUCCCCUUGGCGGAGGCCACAUCUACAUUGGAUCCAGGACCCCAGAAUGCCAUUUAGGAGGAUAGCCGUUUUCCCAGUGAGCAGGAUGUUUUGAACCCAUGAACAGAAAAUUGGAGGGAACCCUCUAGCUUGUAGGAUUUCGAUGAGGGAGGACCAGCAAAUGGAGUCAAAAGCUUUCCUGAAGUUGAGCUUGAAGACCAUGGUCGGGGCUUUACAUGUGUGGCAAGCACUUAGGAUAUCAGCAGCAUAAAUGAAAUUUUCUGCAAUGUUGCGUCCAUGUAGGAAGCCCGUUUGAUCAUAAUGAAUGAGCAGCGGGAUGAGUGGUUUUAGUCUAUUUGUAAGGACUUUGGCCACUGCUUUUGGAGUGCAGUUUUGAAGAGAGAUGGGUCUAAAAGCAUCUGGAGAUGUUGGCGCCAGGGUUUUUGGGAGGAGUACCAUGAAGGCACGGUUGAAGCGUUCAAGCGAAGCAGUCUGAUCGUGGAAGGCAGAGAAGAACGGUAGGAUGGAUUGUUUGAUAUCAUUCCAAAAUUUUCUAAAGAAGAUGGGUCCAAAGCCAUCCGGUCCAGGGCUGGCUUUUGCAUUCAUGGUGAGAAAGGCUUGGUGGAUUUCGUCGUGGGAGAAGGGUUGUGCAAGAUCAGAGAGCUGGGGGAGGGGCAAGGGGUAUAGCUGUAGCAGACUAAAGUUCCAGGUAGCAUUUUUGUGGUCCCGAUUAGUUAUUGGAAAUAAGUUUUUAAGAUGUCAGCUUUCUGUUCGUGCAGGAAAACUUCAGAGGAGUUGUGUAUAAGCAUGGGAAUUUUGUUUGUUCGAGAUCGCUGUGUAGCAGUGGCGUGAAAGAAUCUAGUAUUUUCGUCUCCAUCAAUGGCAACCCUGAUCUUACCCCUCUGUUUCCAGAAGGCGAUUUCUUGUUUGAUGGCAUGUUGUAGUAGGUUAGAAAUCGUAAGCCUAAGUUUCUGUUCGAGAGGGGAGAGAGGAGUGAAUUCCUCAUUUAGGUCAAGAGCCUGGAUUGCCAGUUUGCAAUUUGUUUCCCGUUGGUAGAUGGGCUGCAGCGUCUUGGCCCAAGAUUUUAGGGCCGAUCGUGUUUUUUUGAUACUUUGAGCGAGAGAAGCAGCUGGAUACGCGGGCGGCCAUUGUGGUUCAGUGAAUUGGGCCGCCAGCUGUCGCGCACAAUGUUUCUACAGGCUUGGAAUGAAGUCCAGAAGCGUUCAAAUCUAAAAAGGCGGGAAGAAGGGACGGGCGUGGAUAUAGUGACCAGGAGUGGAACGUCAUCAGAAGCGAAUCUAGUAAGAGAGGUUUGGUGCGAGUUGGGAAAAAGAGCAUCCCAAUAUAGGUUGAUAAGUACCCUAUCUAGACGUAUUAGCGUAGGUGACAAUCUUUUAUUUGACCAAGUAAAUUGUCUAUCAAGAAGUGGGAGCUCUAAGAGAGCAAGUUGAUCAAUGGUGUCAUUGAAGGCGUCGGCCUCCGAUCUUCGGAAAUUGUUGUUGUUUCUCUCAUUAGGGAAUCGAGUAAGGUUAAAAUCUCUGACGAGGAGCCAGGGUGAUUGAGUUGGAGGUUCGAUCUGUUUUAGUUCGUCUAGGAAUUCUAGCUUUAGAUCUCAUUGCGAGGGGGCGUAGACGUUAGUGAUAAAGAUGUUGUGUGGCGAGGCAAGGUAUGAGAGAGUUAAGGUAGAUGUGAAACGGCUAUGUUGACAAUUGAGUAGCAAAAAGCAGCGUGAGUUAUUAGCUGAGAGAAUUCCACCCGCAGAUCCGAUUGCGUCGAGGUGGUUGUUAGAGUCUAGGAAUCGUGGCAAGAACGAUCGUAGUUUGAUUGUAUCUGGUUUUUGCAGUUUGGUUUCUUGGAGCAGGGCGAUUGAUGGGCGCAAGUGAUUGAUUUCAGAGAACACAUUGGCACACUUGUCAUUAUCUCCUAACCCGCGAACAUUCCAGGACACGAUAGAGUAUGUUUCCUUUUUCAUAAUGGAAACUUAACUUGGCACCUUACAUAGGGGUAGCUACCCAAAAGACAACCAUUUCGGUUCUGGAUACAUUGAGACCAACUGACAGAAGUAGGAGUGAGCAGCAUUACAACUAGCAUAACCUCAACAUAACAGCUACGGGGCGGUGCGAUGCACCGGAUACAUGGCUAGCAAUGGCCGCCACAUGAGUGGCCUAUGAGGAGAGAGCACAUCAUGGCGAUCCCAGGCCACCGGAGCCCGAUGCGAUGUCCUCCACCAUCCCAGGCAUGGCGCCGCAGGCAGCAGCAAUGGCAGCAAGGUCCUCAGGCGAGGCCAGACCGCGAGCAGAGUCGUCGAUGAACCCAGUCUCAUCGCAGAGACGAGCGUGGAUGAGAGCGUCAGAGAGAUCCUUCGAUGCAGCGGAUAGAUUGAGCUUCUUAGCCUUGGUGCGCAUGGCCUUAGCGGUCAUGGAGGAGUAGAUAGGCGGCUCGAUUUCAGCCAGACGAGCGCUGCGCCUGGCCUUGAUGCCGGAGUCGGCAACCAUCUUGGCACGCCUGCUAAUGCGCCUGGCCAGACACUCGUGCGUAGGCUUAGGAGGCAGGUCCAUAGGCUGGGCGGCAGGAUCCAUAGGCAAGGGAGGCGCCGGAGGGGCAGGUGGGGAGGGUGGAGGAGACGGUGUAGGUGGCAGAGGAGGCGGAGAGGGGGGAGCUGGCAGGGCGAGCAGGGGGCGGGCAUGGCGCGAUCGUGCAAGCUUCCGGGCUGGAGAGGGAGAGUGUAUGGGAGGAGUCCAGGGAGCAUGGACAAGCAUGGCGACAGGCAUGCCGUCAGCCAUGACAGCAAGGAUCGGGAUGCAAUCCAGAGGCAUAUCCGCGGAAGGAGAUGGAGGAGGGCCCGAGGGCGACUCCGGCAUGCAUGCGGGGACAUGGUUGUGGCAAUGUUGCGGAUCUGUGUAAUGGUGGUGGGUGAUAGACGUGGGUUGGAUAACUGGGAGGAGAGGGAGCCAUUGUCCCCGUCCUCAGAGGACAAAGGUGAGGCCCCAAAGCCAUGUCGGAAGAGCGCGUGGCUCUCCAAUUUGACAACGGCGACAUCGUUGUCUGGCAGGCGCACCAUGAGGCAGGAGGGAAGGAUGAAGUCACGGGCUACCAUGACGAGAGCGCGAACACUAGAGUGAUCGCCUGGAAACAGUGCUGGUCGGCGGAGACGAAAUCUCCAAGCUGAGAGAAAAGGUACUCUGCCCCCUCAGGGUGCCAGAGCUCGUCGGGGUAAUCGAGCGCCUCGAUCUCGGCCAUGUGGAUGAAGAUGGCCGUGGAUCUGUUAUCAGCGUGUUCUGGCCGUUCGAAGAAGAGGGUAUUGCCCUCGUGGUGGAUCGGGCCGUGGCCAGUGGCCGCGAGGCGCUCCUCUGCGCUAGCAAAGGAGAGACGCGCGGCGCCGCGUGCGGAGGAAGUGAGGCAGAAGGUGGGGUUGUUGCGGUGGUGGGCGAUAGCCUGACGUAUGAACCGGAAGGGAUUGUGCAUGGGAGUGGCUAGGUGUACGUAGGCUAGGUUGUCAACUUGGCGAACUAGGCAGCUUGGAGGGACGAGGAGAGGGAUGUGCGGCUCCAGGGGAGAGAACCAUGAGGCCGAGGUGGGUGUGGUGGCGGGGGAAGGGGGAGGAGGUAGGGCGAAGGACGGCACCGAAGGCGAGGAUAAGGAGGUGCACGACCCGAAGAUGAGCGGGAAACGGAAGGGGGGCAGGUCAUUGGUGAGAACACAGUGGGAGUCGAACCAGAUUGGCGUGCCGUUGGAACGCCUGGAACCAGCCGACGAGCCGGAAGCGGUGUGGGUGCCAGUCGUGUGCGCCAUUGAGCUGCAUGGCGGACGCACAAAAGCUGGGUUAGUACGCGGGGAAGGGGGCAUAGUAGGGAAAAAGGAAGGUAGCGAAUGGCCUUGCACCUGAAGCUCCGAUGGCCGGAGCACCAGCAACGAGAGCACCGGACGGGGUCGCGGCAGUUAGCGAUGGUGUGGUCACUAGCAAGGCACCGAAAGCAUCUAGUCUUCUUCUUGCGGCUGUAAUGGUGGUGGAUGUGUUUAAGGCUGGCCAUCUGGGGAGGGGUGGAUUUAUAGGCCAGAGGGGUCGAUGGGUUGGAGAGGGUAGAUGCAAAGACCCGAGGCGGGGAGCUUAGCAAAACCUCCCAGUAGCUGCGCGGGUCUUGCCGCGGCGUGGAGACCGAAGAGCUCGCAGGGCUGGUAGCAGUGGCAGUGGCGUGGCACUGGUUAAUGGUGGUCUCGGGAUGGAGCUGAGGGGAUGGGGCGGAGAGUAGGCUGACGAAGGUAGGGGAGGCAGGUGGUAGAGUAGACGCGAUGACGGGCGCAUGCGUGUGCAUGCAAGCGUUGGUUUUAUCAUGCGGUGAGGAUGGACGGGAGGGGGCUGGUGGGUCCCAUGAUUCAAUGAUUGUAGGGUAUGAUUUAGAGUGAGAAUUGGCAUCUGGGGGAGCGAGCUGGCCCAGCAGCCGACCAGUGGGCGGCUGUGGUGACACAGGUGGGGCCAAGCCGGCAGUGAUAUGUGACGGAUAGCGAGGGAGCGGGCCGUCCAUGGCCGUAUCAUUUAAAAAACUAGGUUGGUCGAUGGAGGGUACAACGCAACCAUCGCCACGGUCUUGUUUUCUUUCUGUAGAAAGGAUGCAGGCAGACGCGACGGGGGAGGCCGAGAUGGAUAAGAGGCACACGUGUCCCAGGCCAUCGAGUGCAUUGCGGUCAACCGAGGCAGCGCCAGGGGAAUCCACGCAUGGAACAAUGUGGUGGAUCUCAGUGGACAGGUGAGAGAGAUCUUGCGCUAAUACUUUAGUCGAUGGGUGCGGUCCAAGCAAGGACGUGUAGUGGAUAGGCAGGACGGGUGCAUUCGGGUCAAUGGAGUCCGGUUCAUACACAAUUUGAAGCGGUACCGAUCGCACUAUUUGAGAUGCUUGGUCAAACGAGUCAAAGAGCUGAAGUUCAAAUUUUGAAAACUGUAUGGGCGCGCCAUGGAGGACUUCAGUUUGUACGUUGACCGAGAAGACAUGCACUAGAAACAAGUUCGGAGCAAGCGUGACCGCGUGGAAGACACUUUGGAAAGAAAACUGGUGGUCUAAAGCAUUAUUAAUUAGAGUUUCAUUAGUGCAAACUGACUUAGAGAAGAAAACGACCCAUAUUGGAGUGGUGGGUUUAUGAGAUAGACAUGUGGUGGGUGCGGUGACAAGGCAGUGGUACUUAGAGAAAAUCAGCUUAUUGAACGAAAUGCCAGGUCGGAACGGUCGUACCUUUGCAAGCGAUCGCUGUGGGGUGAGGGCGGUGGAAGUCGCAGGCUUCCCAGAUGGCAGCCGACCAUUGACAAUGGCGGGUCCCACCUGCAUGAAGGGCAUGCACGAGGGGGAGCGUGGGGGCUCGACGACGACGAUGCAAGACAGUACCGCCGAUGCCCGGCGCGGCGAAGGCGCCCGUUCGGCCGGCAUUGCCGGCGUGUCAUGUGGCGCCACCGUGAUGGUGGCGAACAUGCGAGGAGCCACAAUUGGAGAGCAGGCCGCCAUGAGCGUGGCGAUGUGAUGAGAGGAGACCGGCGCAGCAAAGGCUACGUUUGAGAGGCGCUCAACGGAGAUAGAACGUGCAGCGCCACCAAAGCGGAACGAGAGGAGCAUGGCCACCAGAGUUUCGUCGACCAUGAAGUCAGCUUUGUGGAUGAAGAAGAUGAUUUUGGUUGGCAAGGCCGAGGCAAGUGGCGUUAUAAAAACUUUGGAUGAGAACAGAUCAAGGAUGUUGCACACGAAGUCGACACCAAGCGAGGGGAAGAACCCAAGCUGAGAGCGCAGGAAUGCAUCGGCGUGGCCAAAGCGGUCACCGAUGUCGACUUCUGUUUUUUGGUGGAUGGAUGGCUGAUGUGUGAGUGAGGACGGCGGUGGAAAUGAAAGAAAUUGGACGGAGUGUGUUGUGGCAACGAGUAUGGGCUCGGCGAUGAGAGCUCGAAUGAUGCGCAUGUCAGAGACAGUGAUACGAAAGAGCUGCUCGUGGAGGCGAGUCACCUGGAAGGCGGGAGCGUUGCCACCCAAGCAGGCUUGCAUGAGGACGGCCACAAGUUCUUCGUCGAGGUCGAGCGAGGAAUGGUGAACAUGCACGGAGAGGAAGCACGGAGGCUCGUGGCGGCGCGGGUUGAUGUGCUUGGAGAGGCACCGCCAUACCUGCGCCUGGAAGUCGUCGCCCAUGGCGUCGCCAACUCUGAGCGCAGCCCGUAGGGCCUUGGCGGUAGCGGAAUCCUUCCAUGGAAUGGGGUCAUGCAAGGUGUCCGACACCGGAUAUGAGAGAGGGGAAAUGACGGCGGCGGCCGAAGCAGUGGCGAGGGGGGUGGAUGGGGCCGGGGCACCGAAGGGGAGCGGGGUGGAGAGGGGAGCCAUCGUGCUAGUUGAAACUGACUGACAUUCGAUUAGUUGUACUCAGGAAUGUUUUAGAAAAUAAUUCGCAAUAACAUGGAUGUCAGAUUUAUCAACUACUGUCGCUCUUUGUUUUGAAGGAUUUGAUUAUGGGAGUUUUAGUAUGCCCAUACCACGUAUAAUAGAUGUAGACAUCAUUGUCGCUUCCUUAUUUUAUGUGAUUCAGAUAUUUUAAAACCUUAUCUGUACCAUUGAAUUAUGUAAUUAUGUAGGUUGCCCGAUAUGUUCAUCGAUGCUGUGGACAACGAUUUUGAUUAUCGUUUCCCAUAUGUAUCUAAUUAGGUUUGCAAUUACACUUUGUUUUAUUUAUCAUCUGUAUCUAGAAAAUCAGAUUGUGAAGCUUACAAUUUAUUAGUUUUUCUGCGAUUUCCCUUUAUUUUGCUGAUAGUCCACUACUCAGGAUUAUAAGAGCCAUCAUCUUUGUGAGCAUUUUCCCUUCAGGUGUUGCAAGGUGUUAGUAUGGUUCUACAGAGAAAGAUGCACAACAUGCCUAAUUUUGUACUUACCUUGCAGUUCUGUGGAUCUACUACAAUUAUAUGAUGUCCUCAAAUUAGACCUUUGCAAGCAUGACUAGAUAUCAGCAUAUAUAUAUGCAGCACACCUUUGGUUCAAUCGUACAUUCAUAGUAGUUUGAUGUACUACGUUUUGGUUGGCAGAGAGGAUUCUUAUGGUGACA
RNAcentral lists this long non-coding RNA (9701 nucleotides) under Triticum aestivum (bread wheat). Its description in RNAcentral is "long non-coding RNA (TAES_LNC007049)". The record is from RNAcentral. Lineage: Eukaryota; Viridiplantae; Streptophyta; Magnoliopsida; Poales; Poaceae.